GAGAGAGAGAGAGAGAGAGAGCUCCAAGGCCCUGAGAAAUGUUGGUCACCGGGCAAACUAACAGGAAAUCUUUGAACUAGUUAAUAUUCAUUCUGGGUUUCUGAUUAGAGCUGCUAUGAAUUUUUUCUUUUCUGCAAAAAAAAUAUAAGGAAAAAAAAAUCCUUGGAUAAUAGAUUGAUGCUAUUUGCUUUGCAGCCCCGUGGAGUAUUCACUGGCAACGCCUAUAAAAUUUUAUGAAAUUAGUUAUUUUAUGAUAUUAUCAAAAUCUUGAGUUGGCUU
This 279-nucleotide unclassified non-coding RNA is filed under the name Hevea brasiliensis (rubber tree). The record is from RNAcentral. Lineage: Eukaryota; Viridiplantae; Streptophyta; Magnoliopsida; Malpighiales; Euphorbiaceae.